UACGUAGGGACCGCGCGUUGUCCGGAAUCAUUGGGCGUAAAGAGCGUGUAGGCGGUCCGGUAAGUCGGCUGUGAAAGUCCAGGGCUCAACCCUGGGAUGCCGGUCGAUACUGCCGGACUAGAGUUCGGAAGAGGCGAGUGGAAUUCCCGGUGUAGCGGUGAAAUGCGCAGAUAUCGGGAGGAACACCUAUGGCGAAGGCAGCUCGCUGGGACGUUACUGACGCUGAGACGCGAAAGCGUGGGGAGCAAACAGG
RNAcentral lists this ribosomal RNA (253 nucleotides) under uncultured bacterium. Its description in RNAcentral is "partial 16S ribosomal RNA". It matches the Rfam family "Bacterial small subunit ribosomal RNA", at positions 524 to 776 of the family's 1533-position model. The record is from RNAcentral.